GGCUCAGAUUGAACGCUGCGGGAAUGCUUUACACAUGCAAGUCGAGCGGCAGCGCGGGGCAACCUGGCGGCGAGCGGCGAACGGGUGAGUAAUAUAUCGGAACGUAUCCUUGAGUGGGGGACAACUAGUCGAAAGACUAGCUAAUACCGCAUACGCUCGGGAGAGGAAAGUGGGGGACCGCAAGGCCUCACGCUGAAGGAGCGGCCGAUAUCAGAUUAGCUAGAUGGUGAGGUAAAGGCUUACCAUGGCGACGAUCUGUAGCUGGUCUGAGAGGAUGAUCAGCCACACUGGGACUGAGGCACGGCCCAGACUCCUACGGGAGGCAGCAGUGGGGAAUUUUGGACAAUGGGGGCAACCCUGAUCCAGCCAUUCCGCGUGAGUGAAGAAGGCCUUCGGGUUGUAAAGCUCUUUUGUUCGGGACGAAACGGUUAAGGCUAAUAACCUUGACUAAUGACGGUACCGGAAGAAUAAGCACCGGCUAACUACGUGCCAGCAGCCGCGGUAAUACGUAGGGUGCGAGCGUUAAUCGGAAUUACUGGGCGUAAAGCGUGCGCAGGCGGUUAUGUAAGCCAGAUGUGAAAUCCCCGGGCUCAACCUGGGAAUGGCAUUUGGGACUGCAUGGCUAGAGUAUGGCAGAGGAGACUAGAAUUCCUGGUGUAGCAGUGAAAUGCGUAGAUAUCAGGAGGAAUACCGAUGGCGAAGGCAGGUCUCUGGGUCAAUACUGACGCUCAUGCACGAAAGCGUGGGGAGCAAACAGGAUUAGAUACCCUGGUAGUCCACGCCCUAAACGAUGUCGACUGGUUGUUGGGAGAUUUAUUCUCUUAGUAACGAAGCUAACGCGUGAAGUCGACCGCCUGGGGAG
RNAcentral lists this ribosomal RNA (862 nucleotides) under uncultured bacterium. RNAcentral's name for it is "bacterial SSU rRNA". It matches the Rfam family "Bacterial small subunit ribosomal RNA", at positions 21 to 880 of the family's 1533-position model. The record is from RNAcentral.